Molecule: ribosomal RNA, 504 nt
Filed under: uncultured bacterium
Lineage: Bacteria
Description: partial 16S ribosomal RNA
Rfam family: Bacterial small subunit ribosomal RNA
Source: RNAcentral
GAUGAACGCUAGCGGCAGGCCUAAUACAUGCAAGUCGAACGGGAUCUGAGGGUAGCUUGCUACCCGAUUUGAGAGUGGCGCACGGGUUCGUAACGAGUGAGCAACCUACCCAUAUCAGGGGGAUAGCCAGAAGAAAUUCGGAUUAAAACCGCAUAAUAAUACGCUAACACAAGUUAAUGUAUUUAAAUAUUUAGAGGAUAUGGAUGGGCUCGCGUUACAUUAGCUAGUUGGUAAGGUAACGGCUUACCAAGGCGACGAUGUCUAGGGGCUCUGAGAGGAGAAUCCCCCACACUGGUACUGAGAUACGGACCAGACUCCUACGGGAGGCAGCAGUAAUGAAUAUUGGUCAAUGGGCGCGAGCCUGAACCAGCCAUGCCGCGUGCAGGAUGACUGCCCUAUGGGUUGUAAACUGCUUUUGUUAGGGAAUAAACCUACUUAUGUAUAAGUAGCUUAAUGUACCUAAAGAAUAAGGAUCGGCUAACUCCGUGCCAGCAGCCGCAGUAA